This 403-nucleotide long non-coding RNA is filed under the name Theobroma cacao (cacao). RNAcentral's name for it is "long non-coding RNA (TCAC_LNC002071)". The record is from RNAcentral. Lineage: Eukaryota; Viridiplantae; Streptophyta; Magnoliopsida; Malvales; Malvaceae.
AAUGAUUUUGGCAGGAGCCAAGUUUUGUGAGAUAUAUAAGCCAUGUUGAUUAAUUGAGUAAACUGAAUAUUCAUGUUAUGAAACAUAUAUUGGAAAAGAAUAUUUUAAUUCGUCUCCAUUUACUCACCUUUAGAUAGUUUAGAUGGUGUCUGUUUACUCAUUGGGCUUAUGUAAUCAUAAUCUCACCCCUUUUCCUAUCCAUUUUUCAGGCUUAGGACAGUUUGUUGAUAGUUGAUUAAGACGAGAAUUAAUCUCAGAGUUGUAUCAUAGAAAGUAAGAGUUAGUAGCCCAACACCUUCUUGAUCAGUUGGGGGCCCACGUGUCACUAUAAAAAUAAUUUUAUACUUCAGUUAUCUGAUUUAAAGUAUGUAUGAACAUAUUUAUCUUUUACACCAAGUUUUUG